RNAcentral lists this ribosomal RNA (253 nucleotides) under uncultured bacterium. RNAcentral's name for it is "partial 16S ribosomal RNA". It matches the Rfam family "Bacterial small subunit ribosomal RNA", at positions 524 to 776 of the family's 1533-position model. The record is from RNAcentral.
UACGUAGGGGGCUAGCGUUGUCCGGAAUCAUUGGGCGUAAAGAGCGUGUAGGCGGCCCGGUAAGUCCGCUGUAAAAGUCAAAGGCUCAACCUUUGAAUGUCAGUGGAUACUGCCGGGCUAGAGUCCGGAAGAGGCGAGUGGAACUCCUGGCGUAGCGGUGGAAUGCGCAGAUAUCAGGAGGAACACCGGUGGCGAAGGCGGGUCUCUGGGCAGUAACUGACACUGAGGAGCGAAAGCGUGGGGAGCGAACAGG